This 354-nucleotide transfer-messenger RNA is filed under the name Patescibacteria group. RNAcentral's name for it is "f GWA2-38-13 X1 Standard tmRNA". It matches the Rfam family "transfer-messenger RNA". From Rfam's summary of the family: Bacterial tmRNA, also known as 10Sa RNA or SsrA, is named for its dual tRNA and mRNA-like properties. Its role is to liberate the mRNA from a stalled ribosome. The record is from RNAcentral. RNAcentral also lists the same sequence under 1 other name.
GGGCCUGUAAAGGAUUCGACGUUCAUUGAAAGUUAAUUGUAGCAAGUAAGAGAGAUGCCUGGCUCUUUAAAAAGGCAUAAAGUCCUAAUUGGCAACGAUAACAUCGUCCCCUUCGCUUCGCAAGAAGUGGAGUUAAUGGCAGCCUGAGGCUGUCCCGGUCUACGUACAUGAGACGCUUGAUAGUGUACGAGGGCGGUAUCCGGAUCAAGCGGAAACUAGAGAAGUCUGCUAAUGAAAAAACUAGUUAAAGAUAAUUAGAUAUGAUGUCUAUAUCAGAUAAGAAUAGAAUAAACUUGUAGAAGCAUUAACCAGAGGUGUUAACGGACGCCGGUUCGAUUCCGGCCAGGUCCACCA